GUAAAUAUUGAUAUUUGUUCAGACGCUGAUUGCAAUUGCAAAGAGUUUAAAGUGAUCCUAUCGGCCAGAAAACCAGCCGAGGAAACAUUCAGUACGCAAAAGACAUGGGUGCAGACGGGGGCUAUAUUACUAUAACCCCGUACUACUAGGUAAUGAUCCUUCCGCAGGUUCACCUACGGAAA
This 182-nucleotide unclassified non-coding RNA is filed under the name uncultured fungus. RNAcentral describes it as "sequence contains ITS1". Lineage: Eukaryota; Fungi. The record is from RNAcentral.